UACGGAGGUCCCGAGCGUUGUUCGGAAUUACUGGGCGUAAAGGGGGCGCAGGCGGACAGGUCAGUGGAAAGUGGAAGCCCGAGGCUCAACCUCGGAAAGCCUUUCCAUACUGCCUGUCUUGAGUUCGUGAGAGGAAAGCGGAAUUCAGGGUGUAGCGGUGAAAUGCUUAGAUAUCCUGAGGAACACCAAUGGCGAAAGCAGCUUUCUGGCACGUUACUGACGCUGAGGCCCGAAAGCGUGGGGAGCGAACGGG
Molecule: ribosomal RNA, 253 nt
Filed under: uncultured bacterium
Lineage: Bacteria
Description: partial 16S ribosomal RNA
Rfam family: Bacterial small subunit ribosomal RNA
Source: RNAcentral